Molecule: transfer RNA, 66 nt
Filed under: Aleurocanthus camelliae (camellia spiny whitefly)
Lineage: Eukaryota; Metazoa; Arthropoda; Insecta; Hemiptera; Aleyrodidae
Description: tRNA-Asn
Source: RNAcentral
UUAGUUAAAACCAAAGCUAGAGGUAUGUUAUUGUUAAUAAUAAAAUUGAAUUAACUUCUAACUAAA